Non-coding RNA from Odocoileus virginianus texanus, 632 nucleotides. NCBI's taxonomy places the organism in Eukaryota, Metazoa, Chordata, Mammalia, Artiodactyla, Cervidae. The record is from RefSeq and is a predicted model, not a curated record.
CGUGCAUUCCAGAAGCUCCCAGGGGACACUGGUGCUGCGGGUCUGGGGCUGGCUCUGAGACACGCUGCUCUAGGGACCUGCUUUCUUGCUGAGGGAAGGAGCUAGUGUGUGCUGUGUUAAAAGCUGAAAGAAAAUCUCCCUGAUCACUUCAGAGCCAGGCAGAGUAACAAAACAUGCAAGCAACUUAUACAAAGGUGUCUUAAUGUGGUUGACAAAGGGACUCCUUUGCUUGCCCCCGUAAAACCAGUUUACUCUAAUUCAUUUUGUCCUGGGAUUAGACGUUGUGAAUACUGAGGUGAAUAUGGCAUAGAACCUGCCUUCAAGUAGAUCACACUUGAGAGGAGAGGGAUGAGUUCCUCUGAGUGAAGACAAGACUGGUCAAGACUGAACUACAAGCACUAAUAGAGAGUGCCUACUACAAAUAAGCAAAUCAGCAAAGGAGCUUAAAGCAGAGUGAGUCCUUGGGCCAGAAAUCAUGAUUUGUUGGAAGUUCUGUUUGGAAGCACUAGAUGGUGAAGCACAGCCUUUCACUGCCUUGGGGAAGAGUCAAUCACAGAGUUUCCCAGGUGUCUUGUUUGGAUCCAAACAGUUGAUAUUUGAGCUUUCCAUCCACUAUGAAAGUAUAACACACA